Molecule: ribosomal RNA, 445 nt
Filed under: uncultured bacterium
Lineage: Bacteria
Description: partial 16S ribosomal RNA
Rfam family: Bacterial small subunit ribosomal RNA
Source: RNAcentral
GUGAGGAAUAUUGGUCAAUGGGCGAGAGCCUGAACCAGCCAAGUCGCGUGAAGGAAGAAGGAUCUAUGGUUCGUAAACUUCUUUUGCAGGGGAAUAAAGUGCAGGACGUGUCCUGUUUUGUAUGUACCCUGAGAAUAAGGAUCGGCUAACUCCGUGCCAGCAGCCGCGGUAAUACGGAGGAUCCGAGCGUUAUCCGGAUUUAUUGGGUUUAAUGGGUGCGUAGGUGGUUUGAUAAGUCAGCGGUGAAAGUUUGCAGCUUAACUGUAAAAAUGCCGUUGAAACUGUCGGACUUGAGUGUAAAUGAGGUAGGCGGAAUGCGUGGUGUAGCGGUGAAAUGCAUAGAUAUCACGCAGAACUCCGAUUGCGAAGGCAGCUUACUAAGCUACAACUGACACUGAAGCACGAAAGCGUGGGGAUCAAACAGGAUUAGAUACCCGUGUAGUCC